Molecule: ribosomal RNA, 253 nt
Filed under: uncultured bacterium
Lineage: Bacteria
Description: partial 16S ribosomal RNA
Rfam family: Bacterial small subunit ribosomal RNA
Source: RNAcentral
UACGGGGGGGGUAAGCGUUGUUCGGAAUUACUGGGCGUAAAGGGCUCGUAGGCGGCCAACUAAGUCGGACGUGAAAUCCCUCAGCUUAACUGGGGAACUGCGUCCGAUACUGGAUGGCUUGGAUUUGGGAGAGGGAUGCGGAAUUCCAGGUGUAGCGGUGAAAUGCAUAGAUAUCUGGAGGAACACCGGUGGCGAAGGCGGCAUCCUGGACCAAUAUUGACGCUGAGGAGCGAAAGCCAGGGGAGCAAACGGG